This 67-nucleotide transfer RNA is filed under the name Potamophylax latipennis. Its description in RNAcentral is "tRNA-Lys". The record is from RNAcentral. Lineage: Eukaryota; Metazoa; Arthropoda; Insecta; Trichoptera; Limnephilidae.
CAUCAGAUAACUAAACUAAAUAAGUAUUGGUCUCUUAAACCACUAAUAGUAAUUAUUACUUCUAAUG